Molecule: long non-coding RNA, 1733 nt
Organism: Daphnia pulex (common water flea)
Lineage: Eukaryota; Metazoa; Arthropoda; Branchiopoda; Diplostraca; Daphniidae
Exons: 3
Source: RefSeq, a predicted model, not a curated record
AGAACGAAAGGGUUUGUAGCAAAAAUCAGUUCGUCUUCGGCGCAACAACCAGCAACAAAGAUCAUUCGAUCCUUUAACCACUCGCUCUCGUUCAAACUUACACAAUGAUCAUGAAGGUGACAUUGGCUUUUCUACUGUGUUUGGUUACUUUGACGAUUGGUGCUCCUUCAUCAACGGUCCCGCAAGUUAAUGGAGCUGCCAAUGCUGCCAUGAUAGAAAAUCAACCAGUUGACGUUGCGGCGAUCGAGUCCGCUGAUUUCGCCCAGCAGCCCUUUGAAGCCAACGAUGCCAUGGAUACUUCAGCCACUCACUACAAACGUUACUACUACCCCAACGCUUACUACUACCCUCAUUACUACCCUCACUAUUACUCUAAAUAUCACUACCCAAGAUACUACAACUACUAUUACUAGAGGGACUCCGUAUUGGCCAAUCAGUAUUGCUUUACAGCAGUAUAAAACAUCCACUACUUUUACAACACCAUCAGCAAUACUCGCCAUAGUCCUUCUCCUCCAUUGACGACGAAACAAAUAUGUUGAACUCAAUAUCACAUUGCCCUUUUUUACUCUUUGCUGUCGCAAAAUUGUUAUAAUACCGACCUUUUGGAAAAAUAAAAUCUUUUCAACCCGUGAUUAGGUAUUAACUUGGAACAUUCUAGAAGGGGUAGGACAUGAUUCUUCUGUUCUUUUUAUUUAAAGUACUUUAUAAGGCAUUUUCUUAUUUUCUACAAAGACGUGAGUCCUUGACUAGCACCACAAGGGCACGGGUGCGUUUUUAUCAGGGUACCACCCAUUACAUUUGCGAACUAUUCCUUCUCAGCUAGUGUUUUAAGCAUUAAUCUUUUUAGACAGCCCUUACCCCAACACGGAUAUGUUUAGGCUACCGCGGCCAUUGUUUCCUAACUUUUUUUUUUUUUUUUUAAACCCAACCCUUGCCAAUGCCUCCCACUAAUUUGAUACGUAUUUUAAGCCCCCACUUCAGACAAAAGUAAAAUAUGUUUCACUGAACACGGAGCGUGUCGGGUGUCGCGUUAUUGCAUUAUACUGUUUUUCUUUAAAGUUUAAAUUAAGUGAAAAGAGAAGAAAUGUCCGGUUUGUUAACGUCUUGCAAACUUGGUUUUGUGUUAGUGAUCUCUCUCCUGGUUAUGGUCCAUUCGUUUGCAAAUAACGACACCAUCAAUCUUAACAAUUUUAAUGCCGAACAAAUCUCUCUCCCAAUUUCGACUGAUGUUAAUGGUACAGUGCUAACGACUGGGCAGUCAGAAUCAGCUGCAAUCGGAAUCGGCGGAAGCUGCUUGUUCCAGCGGUUUAGAGAAAAUGUCAACACCUUCGUGAAUUUUCGCAGCGUUUUCCCUUACGUAUACAUCGCCAUAUUCCUGUUCAAUCUGAUUUUCAAUCCGUUUCUUAUCAUCUGGAUUCUGAUCUCACCAAUCGUCUUCAACAUUCUUCGCUCUACUACUACCUGCUAUAUCUUUCCGGAAAUUUCUGCUUAUCUAAAUGAUACCAUCGAUACAACUAUACUCUCUGGUGCUUAAUUGAACUCGAAAAAAAAAAUGCCGGUGAUGGUACCUUUUUUUAAAUUUUUUUCAUUUAUGAAAAUCUAAAAUCGCGUUAAAUCGUAUUGAUUACAUCUUUUUCGUUUUUUUUUGUGUGUAAAUUGUUAGUGCAACACUGUAAUAAUGUAACUUUCAAGGUAGUGUAACGUUUUGCAUAAUAUAUCGAUUUUGUCCCAUA